ACAGGGCAAGGUUGCAUGCCUAUAUUCUCAACUUCUUGGGAGGCUGAGGCAGGGGAAUUGCUUGAGCCAAGGAUUUCUAAGAUGUAGUGUGCCAUGCCACUCAGAUGUCCACACUGUUUUUCAUCAGUGUGGUGGCCUCCUAUGAGCAGGAGAGCACCAGAUUGCUCGAAGAGAGGUGAACCAUCCCGGGUCAGAAAUGAAGCAGGUCAAAACUCUCAGGCUGUUCCAUAGUGGGAUCACACCUGUGAAUAGUCACUGCAUUCCAGCCUGUACAACAUAACUAUAACCUGUGUCAA
Molecule: signal recognition particle RNA, 296 nt
Filed under: Pongo abelii (Sumatran orangutan)
Lineage: Eukaryota; Metazoa; Chordata; Mammalia; Primates; Hominidae
Description: Metazoan signal recognition particle RNA (ENSPPYG00000030745.1)
Rfam family: Metazoan signal recognition particle RNA
About the family: The signal recognition particle (SRP) is a universally conserved ribonucleoprotein.
Source: Rfam by way of RNAcentral